GUGUGUGUGUGUGUGUGUGUGUGUUGACCUCUCUCUCUCUCUGAUCUUCAUCUCCACAGGGCAAAAAGAAGCGGAGGAAACGGGACAAGCAGCAGGACCCUGGCACAGCCGAAGCCCUUCAUUCAGACUGUGUUUAUCGGGCUGUCGACUUCUGAUUGACAUAUAACUCUCUUGACUGUUCCUAGGAGGAAAAAGAAGUGCAUUCGCUACCUUCAAAGAGGACUCUGCGCCAGCCCCCAUUCUUCCGAUGGAAGUGCUAUAGACUCCCCCCCUUCACCCGUCUAU
Puntigrus tetrazona (Sumatra barb) is the source of this 285-nucleotide long non-coding RNA. RefSeq lists it as uncharacterized. The record is from RefSeq and is a predicted model, not a curated record. Lineage: Eukaryota; Metazoa; Chordata; Actinopteri; Cypriniformes; Cyprinidae. The transcript is spliced from 3 exons.